RNAcentral lists this ribosomal RNA (198 nucleotides) under uncultured bacterium. RNAcentral describes it as "partial 16S ribosomal RNA". It matches the Rfam family "Bacterial small subunit ribosomal RNA", at positions 328 to 539 of the family's 1533-position model. The record is from RNAcentral.
ACGCUCGACACCUACGGGGGGCAGCAGUGGGGAAUAUUGCACAAUGGGGGAAACCCUGAUGCAGCAACGCCGCGUGAAGGAAGACGGUUUUCGGAUUGUAAACUUCUGUUCUUAGUGAAGAUAGUGACGGUAGCUAAGGAGCAAGCCACGGCUAACUACGUGUCAGCAGCCGCGGUAAUCUGAGCGGGCUGGCAAGGC